GACGAACGCUGGCGGCGUGCUUAACACAUGCAAGUCGAACGGAAAGGCCCGGCUUUGUUGCGCUCCUCUAGUUGCGACCUGGUAAGUAACCCGUGGGUACCCUGCCCUUGCCUUUGGGGUAUCUUCAUACAACUGGGGCUAAUCCCGGCAAGGAGUUCUUGCUUCUUGGUGGGGGUUCGAAGGUUUCGGCUGUUGGGGAUGGACUCGCGGCUUAUCAGGUUGUUGGUGGGGUAGUGGAUUACCAAGGCUUUGCCGGGUGGCCGGCCUGAGAGGGUGACCGGCCACAUUGGGACUGAGAUACGGCCCAGACUCCUACGGGAGGCAGCAGUGGGGAAUAGUGCACAAUGGGCGGAAGCCUGAUGCAGCAACGCCGCGUGCGGGAUGACGGCCUUCGGGUUGUAAACCGAUUUCGCCUGUGACGAAGCGUGAGUGACGGUAAUGGGUAAAGAAGCACCGGCUAACUACGUG
RNAcentral lists this ribosomal RNA (468 nucleotides) under uncultured bacterium. RNAcentral's name for it is "partial 16S ribosomal RNA". It matches the Rfam family "Bacterial small subunit ribosomal RNA", at positions 28 to 507 of the family's 1533-position model. The record is from RNAcentral.